UGGAGAGUUUGAUCCUGGCUCAGGACGAACGCUGGCGGCGUGCUUAACACAUGCAAGUCGAGCGGUAAGGCCCUUCGGGGUACACGAGCGGCGAACGGGUGAGUAACACGUGGGUGAUCUGCCUCGUACUCUGGGAUAAGCCUGGGAAACUGGGUCUAAUACCGGAUAUGACCACGAAUCGCAUGGUUUGUGGUGGAAAGAUUUAUCGGUGCGAGAUGGGCCCGCGGCCUAUCAGCUUGUUGGUGGGGUAAUGGCCUACCAAGGCGACGACGGGUAGCCGGCCUGAGAGGGCGACCGGCCACACUGGGACUGAGACACGGCCCAGACUCCUACGGGAGGCAGCAGUGGGGAAUAUUGCACAAUGGGCGGAAGCCUGAUGCAGCGACGCCGCGUGCGGGAUGACGGCCUUCGGGUUGUAAACCGCUUUCGACAGGGACGAAGCGUGAGUGACGGUACCUGUAGAAGAAGCACCGGCCAACUACGUGCCAGCAGCCGCGGUAA
RNAcentral lists this ribosomal RNA (501 nucleotides) under Nocardia transvalensis. Its description in RNAcentral is "bacterial SSU rRNA". It matches the Rfam family "Bacterial small subunit ribosomal RNA", at positions 1 to 523 of the family's 1533-position model. The record is from RNAcentral. Lineage: Bacteria; Bacillati; Actinomycetota; Actinomycetes; Mycobacteriales; Nocardiaceae.